RNAcentral lists this ribosomal RNA (460 nucleotides) under uncultured bacterium. Its description in RNAcentral is "partial 16S ribosomal RNA". It matches the Rfam family "Bacterial small subunit ribosomal RNA", at positions 338 to 795 of the family's 1533-position model. The record is from RNAcentral.
CCUACGGGAGGCAGCAGUGAGGAAUAUUGGUCAAUGGACGAGAGUCUGAACCAACCAAGUAGCGUGAAGGAUGACUGCCCUCUGGGUUGUAAACUUCUUUUAUAUGGGAAUAAAAUGUUCCACGUGUGGGAUUUUGUAUGUACCAUAUGAAUAAGGAUCGGCUAACUCCGUGCCAGCAGCCGCGGUAAUACGGAGGAUCCGAGCGUUAUCCGGAUUUAUUGGGUUUAAAGGGAGCGUAGGUGGAUUGUUAAGUCAGUUGUGAAAGUUUGCGGCUCAACCGUAAAAUUGCAGUUGAAACUGGCAGACUUGAGUACAGUAGAGGUGGGCGGAAUUCGAGGUGUAGCGGUGAAAUGCUUAGAUAUCACGAAGAACGCCGAUUGCGAAGGCAGCUCACUGGACUGCAACUGACACUGAGGCUCGAAAGUGUGGGUAUCAAACAGGAUUAGAUACCCCAGUAGUC